Non-coding RNA from Tinamus guttatus (white-throated tinamou), 119 nucleotides. Lineage: Eukaryota; Metazoa; Chordata; Aves; Tinamiformes; Tinamidae. The record is from RefSeq and is a predicted model, not a curated record.
GAGGUGCUGUUCCAUCACCUUCCCAGGGAUGGAGGGGAGGCUGUCUGCCCUGUAGUUGCCUGGAUCCUCCUUCUUACCCUUUUUGAAGACUGGUGUGACAUUGUCUUUCCUCCAAUCCU